This 253-nucleotide ribosomal RNA is filed under the name uncultured bacterium. RNAcentral's name for it is "partial 16S ribosomal RNA". It matches the Rfam family "Bacterial small subunit ribosomal RNA", at positions 524 to 776 of the family's 1533-position model. The record is from RNAcentral.
UACAGAGGGGGCAAGCGUUAUUCGGAAUUACUGGGCGUAAAGGGCUCGUAGGUGGCCAACUAAGUCGGACGUGAAAUCCCUCGGCUUAACCGGGGAACUGCAUCCGAUACUGGAUGGCUUGAGUUCGGGAGAGGGAUGCGGAAUUCCAGGUGUAGCGGUGAAAUGCGUAGAUAUCAGGAGGAACACCAACGGCGAAGGCAGCUCGCUGGGACGGUACUGACGCUGAGGCGCGAAAGCGUGGGGAGCGAACAGG